UACGAAGGGGGCUAGCGUUGCUCGGAAUUACUGGGCGUAAAGGGCGCGUAGGCGGAUAGUUUAGUCAGAGGUGAAAGCCCAGGGCUCAACCUUGGAACUGCCUUUGAUACUGGCUAUCUUGAGUUCGGGAGAGGUGAGUGGAAUGCCGAGUGUAGAGGUGAAAUUCGUAGAUAUUCGGAAGAACACCAGUGGCGAAGGCGGCUCACUGGUCCGGUACUGACGCUGAGGUGCGAAAGCGUGGGGAGCAAACAGG
Molecule: ribosomal RNA, 253 nt
Filed under: uncultured bacterium
Lineage: Bacteria
Description: partial 16S ribosomal RNA
Rfam family: Bacterial small subunit ribosomal RNA
Source: RNAcentral